GCUCCUCCUCUUGCCUUAAGAUCAUCACUAGAAAGAGAUGGAAAUUUAGCUGGUGGCGAAGGAAGAUGAAAAGGCAGUUAAAAUAGGCAAGGUAGAGGCGGUGAAUGUUGAAAACGAGAGGACGAAAACUGUGGCAACUGAAGAAACUGAGUCUCAGAAGCCGGUUCUUGCACACAAGGAGAGGAAAUGCAGGGCUCAAUUGUGAAGUCUCUGAUCGGGUUUAUACAAAUGUAAAAUAAA
Molecule: long non-coding RNA, 240 nt
Organism: Juglans microcarpa x Juglans regia
Lineage: Eukaryota; Viridiplantae; Streptophyta; Magnoliopsida; Fagales; Juglandaceae
Exons: 2
Source: RefSeq, a predicted model, not a curated record